This 559-nucleotide ribosomal RNA is filed under the name Streptococcus gordonii. Its description in RNAcentral is "bacterial SSU rRNA". It matches the Rfam family "Bacterial small subunit ribosomal RNA", at positions 368 to 917 of the family's 1533-position model. Lineage: Bacteria; Bacillati; Bacillota; Bacilli; Lactobacillales; Streptococcaceae. The record is from RNAcentral.
GCAAUGGACGAAAGUCUGACCGAGCAACGCCGCGUGAGUGAAGAAGGUUUUCGGAUCGUAAAGCUCUGUUGUAAGAGAAGAACGGGUGUGAGAGUGGAAAGUUCACACUGUGACGGUAUUCUUACCAGAAAGGGACGGCUAACUACGUGCCAGCAGCCGCGGUAAUACGUAGGUCCCGAGCGUUGUCCGGAUUUAUUGGGCGUAAAGCGAGCGCAGGCGGUUAGAUAAGUCUGAAGUUAAAGGCUGUGGCUUAACCAUAGUACGCUUUGGAAACUGUUUAACUUGAGUGCAGAAGGGGAGAGUGGAAUCCCAUGUGUAGCGGUGAAAUGCGUAGAUAUAUGGAGGAACACCGGUGGCGAAAGCGGCUCUCUGGUCUGUAACUGACGCUGAGGCUCGAAAGCGUGGGGAGCGAACAGGAUUAGAUACCCUGGUAGUCCACGCCGUAAACGAUGAGUGCUUGGUGUUAGGCCCUUUCCGGGGCUUAGUGCCGCAGCUAACGCAUUAAGCACUCCGCCUGGGGAGUACGACCGCAAGGUUGAAACUCAAAGGAAUUGACGGG